Molecule: long non-coding RNA, 564 nt
Filed under: Homo sapiens (human)
Lineage: Eukaryota; Metazoa; Chordata; Mammalia; Primates; Hominidae
Description: non-protein coding lnc-KCNC3-4:3
Source: RNAcentral
UUUAGGAGGCUGAGGCCAGGAGUUUGAGAUCAGCACGGGCAACACAGCAAGACAAUUAAGAUUUGACGCUUACAUUUUUCUCCUCAAGGGUGGGGAAAAUAGUCCCUAACCUCACGAACUGAAGCAUGCAGGGGCCACCACCCAAGGGCUUUUGCAAAGCAUCCCUCUUCAUCGAGUCCAACCUGGACGCAGGAUCCUGAACCUACUGAGGGGAUGGAGAGAACCAGCAGAGCUCCCCAAGUUGGGGGCCCCAUCCCCUGGGGACAAGCCCAUCUUCGUACCUCUCUCGAACUACAGGGAUGUGAGUCACAGCCCCACACAGCCCUCACCCCUGCGCCCUUGAGCCAAACUCUUCGUUUACUCUCCUCUUUUGCUAUCAGGUGCAGUAUUUUGGGGAAAUUGGGCUGGGAACGCCUCCACAAAACUUCACUGUUGCCUUUGACACUGGCUCCUCCAAUCUCUGGGUCCCGUCCAGGAGAUGCCACUUCUUCAGUGUGCCCUGCUGUGAGCUUCUAUGUGGGAGAAUAAGGCUGAAUGGGGGUGAAGGGAGGAGGCGGGGCUGGA